UAAUACGGAGGGUGCGAGCGUUAUCCGGAAUCACUGGGUUUAAAGGGUGCGUAGGCGGCCGGAUAAGUCAGUUGUGAAAUCGCUGGGCUCAACCCAUGCAAUUGCGAUUGAUACUGUCCGUGCUUGAAACAGGUUGAGGUAAGCGGAAUGUGGCAUGUAGCGGUGAAAUGCAUAGAUAUGCCAUAGAACACCGAUUGCGAAGGCAGCUUGCUGGGCCUGAUUUGACGCUGAGGCACGAAAGCGUGGGGAGCAAACAGGAUUAGAUACCCUGGUAGUCCACGCCCUAAACGAUGUUUACUUGCUGUUCCUGUCUUGAAUGGGAGUGGCGAAGCGAAAGCGCUAAGUAAACCACCUGGGGAGUACGCCGGCAACGGUGAAACUCAAAUGAAUUGACGG
RNAcentral lists this ribosomal RNA (396 nucleotides) under uncultured bacterium. Its description in RNAcentral is "bacterial SSU rRNA". It matches the Rfam family "Bacterial small subunit ribosomal RNA", at positions 521 to 916 of the family's 1533-position model. The record is from RNAcentral.